GGCUUGAGGACCGUAUUCAUGGAAGAGGAUCGAACAGAGAUGAAGUAGACAGUAUGUUGGAUAAAUCUGAAGUAAACAACCCAGCAAUUGGUAAAGAUGAAAAUAUAUCGCCUCAAGUAAAAGGACAUGAAGACAGGGGACAUGAAAUAGGCAGUAUGUUGGAUAAAUCUGGAGGUCUCUGCUAAGAAAAACUGAGAACUUCACUGAAGAACAUCAACAACAAAUUUUGUGAGCAGUAUAUAACUACAUUUCAGAAGUCUUAUAUGGAUGUACAGAAAUUCAAUGAGGAAAAAGAAAAAUCAGUGAAUAGUUGUCAAAAAGAACAACAAGCAUUGAAACUGUCCAAAUGUAGUCAGAACCAGACCCUGGAAGCAGGUAAAGAAAUGCAUGAGAAGUCCAUGGAGCUGCAUCAUUGGACUCAAACUGAAUGGUCCAUGUGUUGCCACUGAUGUGAGCCAUUUGCAAGCC
Molecule: non-coding RNA, 468 nt
Filed under: Mus musculus (house mouse)
Lineage: Eukaryota; Metazoa; Chordata; Mammalia; Rodentia; Muridae
Source: RNAcentral